AGAAUUGCUGGGUCACAUGAUAAGUACAUUCUUCUUUUACAGAUAUUGCCAUAUUGUUUCUCAAAGUGGCUGUACCAUUGGCAUUCUCACAGUAAUGUGUGAGAAGUCCAGUUGUUUCACAUUCUCACCAAUACUUACAUUGUUAGACUUUUAAACUUUAGGCAUUCUAUUGAGAAUGUAGGAACAUCUCAAUAUUAACUCAAGCAUCAGUAUUUUAAAAAUAUUCUCAGGUGACUCUAAUAUCACCUAUAUGUUCUCAUUGUUCAGCUCCCCUUUAUGAGUGAGAACAUGCAGUUCUUGGUUUUCUGUCCCUGUGUUAGUUUGCUGAGGAGAAUGGCUUCCAGCUUCAGCCAUGUCCCUGCAAAGGACAUGAUCUCAUUCCUUUUUAUGUCUGCAUAGUUUUCCAUGGUGUGUAUAUGUAUGACAUUUUCUUUAUACAGUCUAUCAUUGAUGGGUAUUUGGGUUGAUUCCAUGUCUUUUCUAUUGUGAAUAGUGCUGCAAUAAACAUACUAUAAUUGAAUGAUUUACAUUCUUUUGGGUAUAUACCCAAUAAUGGGAUUGCUGGGUCAAAUGGUAUUUCUGAUUUUAGAUCUUUGAGGAAUAGCUACACUGUCUUCCACAAUGCUUGAAUUAAUUUACAUUCCCACCAACAAUGCAAAAGUGUUCCUAUUUCUCCACAGCCUCACCAGUAUCUGUUGUUUCUAGCUUUUUAAUAAUCACCAUUUUGACUGGCAUGAGAUGGUAUCUUAUUGUGGUUUUGACUUGCAUUUCUCUAAUGAUCAGUGAUGUUGAGCUUUUUUUCGUAUGUUUGUGGGCUGCUUAAAUGUCUUUUUUUGAGAAGUGUCUGUUCAUGUCCUUUGCCAACUUUUGAUGAGGUUAUUUGUUUUCUAAAAAUUUUUUUUUUUUUUUUUUUUUUUUUUUUUUUUUUUGAGACGGAGUUUCGCUCUUGUUUACCCAGGCUGGAGUGCAAUGGCGCGAUCUCGGCUCACCGCAACCUCCGCCUCCUGGGUUCAGGCAAUUCUCCUGCCUCAGCCUCCUGAGUAGCUGGGAUUACAGGCACGCGCCACAGUGCCCAGCUAAGUUUUUGUAUUUUUAGUAGAGACGGGGUUUCACCAUGCUGACCAGUAUGGUCUCGAUCUCUUGACCUCGUGAUCCACCCGCCUCGGCCUCCCAAAGUGCUGGGAUUACAGGCGUGAGCCACCGCGCCCG
This 1209-nucleotide long non-coding RNA is filed under the name Callithrix jacchus (white-tufted-ear marmoset). RNAcentral describes it as "lncRNA (ENSCJAG00000077322.1)". The record is from RNAcentral. Lineage: Eukaryota; Metazoa; Chordata; Mammalia; Primates; Cebidae.